This 418-nucleotide ribosomal RNA is filed under the name uncultured microorganism. Its description in RNAcentral is "bacterial SSU rRNA". It matches the Rfam family "Bacterial small subunit ribosomal RNA", at positions 9 to 428 of the family's 1533-position model. The record is from RNAcentral.
GAGUUUGAUCCUGGCUCAGGUUGAACGCUGGCGGCAUGCCUUACACGUGCAAGUCGAACGGCAGCACGGGUGCUUGCACCUGGUGGCGAGUGGCGAACGGGUGAGGUAAUAUAUCGGAACGUACCUUAUCGUGGGGGAUAACGCAGCGAAAGCUGCGCUAAUACCGCAUACGCCCUGAGGGGGAAAGCGGGGGACCGUAAGGCCUCGCGCGAUUAGAGCGGCCGAUAUCUGAUUAGCUUGUUGGUGGGGUAAAAGCCCACCAAGGCGACGAUCAGUAGCUGGUCUGAGAGGACGAUCAGCCACACUGGGACUGAGACACGGCCCAGACUCCUACGGGAGGCAGCAGUGGGGAAUUUUGGACAAUGGGGGCAACCCUGAUCCAGCAAUGCCGCGUGAGUGAAGAAGGCCUCGGUUGUAA